AAUAGUCAUAAUAAAAGAAUUAUUCCAAACAAGAUGAUCAGAAUUCUCAUGGAAACAAGACAAGCAACUAGCAAAUGGGGGAUGAUAAUAAAAAACAUAACUAUCAACAACAUUAUUUCUUCGAAAUGAAUUAUGUCAACUGAAGGAGGAAGCAUAUCACUUAAAAAUUCAAACCGAUGCCAAAUUAAACACUGAGUAGGAUCUAUCCAACCAAAUAGAAUAACUUCAAGCCAAAUUUGAUCGAGCAAGAGAUAUCAAUUUUGUUCUGCAAAAACCUGUGAUGGACCAAGAACACAAUAAGUGAACUUUGCGAAGAAGUUGUAUCAAUUCCCAACCAUAUCCUCCUUUUGUCAGCAAUUUUCUUCUCAGUUGUUCCUUAUGAAUCCAAAUUCCAAAUUGUUUUUGAAAUACACCGAGUAUUUGACACAAUGCUAGCGCGCCAGUACGCUACAGCGCUAGUGCGAUGCUUAUUUUGUCGGGCAUAUUUUAAAACCUGGCCAAACAGUAUUUCCACUAGAUGGCGUUGCAGAUUCAUCAGCCUCUAGCGUGUGAAAUGGAACUAUUGUUACUUUUUGUUGUCAUGUGAUUCUCAUUGUUUACUUUGUUUUUACGUUGAAAACGUGUAUUUGAGUUUCCCUCGUCUAAAUGGUAUCGUUAUUUCGUUUUUUGGUGUUUUUACCUCCACCCCUAUUAUCGAUGUGAAAAUAUUGCACUGCUUCAUUACCUAAACGAAAUGUCAGCCGUUGCACUUGGGCUUAGAAUGAGGUAAUAUUAACAUAUUUUUGGAAAACCAGGUCUCAUGUUGUAUCAUUCUGGGUAAAGCCAACUCUGUUCGUAUGCCAACUCGGUAUCAUGCCAAUUCUGUUACAAGCAGAACUGUGCAUGAUACUUGGUGAAAAUUGAUGGUUUUGUGUUUACAACCAAAAGCCAAUUUUCAGGAUUAUUAAGACAAUAAUUUACUACUUUUACAUUUGCAACAUGUUAAUCUUAUUCUUUUUUAUUAGUAAACAUAUCCAGUAGUGGAGUUGCAAGUAACAGAUGUGUUCUGUUGUGUACUUUGCACAUAUCGUGGUUUGUUGCAUGAUUUUAUUACUUUGUGAAUCAAUUGUAACUUAUUUAUGAGACAUUCUUGAAGAUGUGCUAUUUGCUAAUAUUCUGCAAGAAUAGGAUCACCCAUUUACUUCUGUUUGGUAAUAACCAUAUCUGUUCAACUAUCCCCUUAAUUCUGAUGGCUACAAGAUUAAGAGGAUGGUUUUAAAACAUUUGCUUCGAUUAUUAUGUGUGUGGUAGUGAUUCGAAGUGGUAUACAGGUCGUACCUGAAAACUGAACUUUAAGAACUUUGAAAGGCCAUGUUAUGUUCAUUUACUAUAGUUAACGUUUGAAACUACGCAGACCUUUUGUAACUUGUGAAGGAGAACAUAGUUCGUUUUUUUAAUUUUCGAAAUUUUAACUUUCAGUACAAC
This is a long non-coding RNA of Daphnia carinata, 1464 nucleotides long. RefSeq lists it as uncharacterized. The record is from RefSeq and is a predicted model, not a curated record. NCBI's taxonomy places the organism in Eukaryota, Metazoa, Arthropoda, Branchiopoda, Diplostraca, Daphniidae. The transcript is spliced from 3 exons.